AGCGAACGCUGGCGGCAGGCUUAACACAUGCAAGUCGAGCGGGCAUCCUUGUGGUGUCAGCGGCAGACGGGUGAGUAACGCGUGGGAACGUGCCCUUCGGUUCGGCAUAACUCUGGGAAACUUGAGCUAAUACCGGAUACGAGCGAGAGCAGAAAGGGUUGUCUGACGAAGGAUCGGGCCGCGUCUGAUUAGCUAGUUGGUGAGGUUACGGCUCACCAAGGCGACGAUCAGUAGCUGGUCUGAGAGGAUGAUCAGCCACACUGGGACUGAGACACGGCCCAGACUCCUACGGGAGGCAGCAGUGGGGAAUAUUGGACAAUGGGGGCAACCCUGAUCCAGCCAUGCCGGGGGAGUGAUGACGGCCUUAGGGUUGUAAAGCUCUUUGCUCCGGGACGAGAAUGACGGUACCGGAUGAAGAAGCCCCGGCUAACUUCGUG
Molecule: ribosomal RNA, 437 nt
Filed under: uncultured bacterium
Lineage: Bacteria
Description: partial 16S ribosomal RNA
Rfam family: Bacterial small subunit ribosomal RNA
Source: RNAcentral